CAGCCUGCUCGGCAGCCGCUGCCUCUCUUAUUGAUUCCUACCUUAAAACUUUGGCAAGACAUUAUUGAUCAAUGUGUCAGUGAAACUGCCAUGAUUCAGGACUUUUUUCUUCAAUUCUUAAUGGAUAAAGUGGCUGUGCUGAAUUAUUAUCAGUAAGUGAAGAUGAAGAUAUCCACACGAUGGUGACCGGGAGGAAAAUGAGGUAGCAUUGGUUGCUGCAAAUUCCAGAGCCUCCUAGAAUUCAACUUCAUCUGAACUCAGUGACAUAAAAGAUGAGAG
This 279-nucleotide long non-coding RNA is filed under the name Gallus gallus (chicken). Lineage: Eukaryota; Metazoa; Chordata; Aves; Galliformes; Phasianidae. The record is from RNAcentral.